CCGGCGCACGGGUGCGUAACGCGUAUGCAAUCUACCUUUUACAGGGGAAUAGCCCAGAGAAAUUUGGAUUAAUGCCCCAUAGUAUAUAUCAUUCGCAUGUUUGAUAUAUUAAAGUUCCAACGGUAAAAGAUGAGCAUGCGUCCCAUUAGUUAGUUGGUAAGGUAACGGCUUACCAAGACGAUGAUGGGUAGGGGUCCUGAGAGGGAGAUCCCCCACACUGGUACUGAGACACGGACCAG
RNAcentral lists this ribosomal RNA (239 nucleotides) under uncultured bacterium. RNAcentral's name for it is "partial 16S ribosomal RNA". It matches the Rfam family "Bacterial small subunit ribosomal RNA", at positions 95 to 334 of the family's 1533-position model. The record is from RNAcentral.